This 233-nucleotide ribosomal RNA is filed under the name uncultured bacterium. Its description in RNAcentral is "partial 16S ribosomal RNA". It matches the Rfam family "Bacterial small subunit ribosomal RNA", at positions 100 to 334 of the family's 1533-position model. The record is from RNAcentral.
CGGGACGGGUGAGUAAUGUCUGGGAAACUGCCCGAUGGAGGGGGGUAACUACUGGAAACGGUAGCUAAUACCGCAUAAUGUCGCAAGACCGAAGAGGGGGACCUUCGGGCCUCUUGCCAUCGGAUGUGCCCAGAUGGGAUUAGCUUGUUGGUGAGGUAACGGCUCACCAAGGCGACGAUCCCUAGCUGGUCUGAGAGGAUGACCAGCCACACUGGAACUGAGACACGGUCCAG